GGCCUAUUGAAUAUAAUUUUAGGUUUAAUCUGCCCACUGAAGAUUUGAAGGGCCGCGGUAUUUUGACCGUGCAAAGGUAGCAUAAUCAUUAGUUUUUUAAUUGAAAGCUGGAAUGAAUGAUUGGAUGAAAAAAAAACUGUCUUUUUAAUUAAUAGUUGAAUUUUAUUUUUAAGUAAAAAAGCUUAAAUUUUUAUUAAAGACGAGAAGACCCUAUAGAGUUUAAUUAUUGAUUAAUGAAAAUUAUUUUAGAUUUAAUUUAAUAUAUUUUAUUAGAAAUAAUUUUAUUGGGGUGAUUGAAAAAUUAAUAUAACUUUUUUUUAUUAGUAACAAUAAUGAGUGAAUAAUUGAUCCAAAAUUUUUGAUUAUAAGAUUAAAUUACCUUAGGGAUAACAGCGUAAUUUUUUUUGAAAGUUCUUAUUGAAAGAAAAGUUUGCGACCUCGAUGUUGGAUUAAAGUUAAUUUUUGGUGUAGAAGCUAGAAAUUUAGGUCUGUUCGACCUUUGAAAUUUUACA
Molecule: ribosomal RNA, 512 nt
Filed under: Microlaemus sp. BYU CO739
Lineage: Eukaryota; Metazoa; Arthropoda; Insecta; Coleoptera; Laemophloeidae
Description: partial 16S ribosomal RNA
Rfam family: Archaeal large subunit ribosomal RNA (bases 386-512)
Source: RNAcentral